GUUGACAGACCCCGGCGUAAAGCGUGGUUAGGGAAAACUCAAAACUAAAGCCGAAUAUCUUCAGGGCAGUUAUACGCUUCCGAAGACACGAAGCCCUUCCACGAAAGUGACUUUAUUACCCCCGACCCCACGAAAGCUAGGACACAAACUGGGAUUAGAUACCCCACUAUGCCUAGCCGUAAACAUUGAUAGAAUUAUACACCUCUCUAUCCGCCCGGAUAUUACGAGCAUUAGCUUGAAACCCAAAGGACUUGGCGGUACUUUAGAUCCCCCUAGAGGAGCCUGCUCUAUAACCGAUAACCCCCGUUAAACCUCACCCUCCCUUGUUUUUUCCGCCUAUAUACCACCGUCGUCAGCUCACCCUGUGAAGGCCUAAUAGUAAGCAAAAUUGGCACAGCCCAGAACGUCAGGUCGAGGUGUAGCGCAUGAGAGGGGAAGAAGUGGGCUACAUUCGCUAACUUAGCGAAUCACGGACGAUGAAUUGAAAACAUUCAUCCUUAAAGGAGGAUUUAGCAGUAAGUGGAAAAUAGAGUGUUCCACUGAAAUCGGCUCUGAAGUGCGUACACACCGCCCGUCACUCUCUCCAAGCCCACCCAAUUACCUAACAUAACUAAUUGUACCCAAACUGCAA
Molecule: ribosomal RNA, 631 nt
Filed under: Scomber sp. P2396647_E1004
Lineage: Eukaryota; Metazoa; Chordata; Actinopteri; Scombriformes; Scombridae
Description: partial small subunit ribosomal RNA
Rfam family: Bacterial small subunit ribosomal RNA
Source: RNAcentral